UGAGCUUCUCGGCCCUUUGGCUAAGAUCAAGUGUAGUAUCUGUUCUUAUCAGUUUAAAAACAAUGCUGGCGGGGCGCCUGGGUGGCUCAGUCGGUUAAGCCUCCGACUUCGGCUCAGGUCAGAUCUCACACGUUCAUGGGUUCGAGCCCUGCAUCAGGCUCUGUGCUGACAGCUAGCUCAGAGCCUGGAGCCUG
This is a small nuclear RNA of Suricata suricatta (meerkat), 194 nucleotides long. Its record names the gene U2. It matches the Rfam family "U2 spliceosomal RNA". Rfam says of the family: U2 is a small nuclear RNA (snRNA) component of the spliceosome (involved in pre-mRNA splicing). Lineage: Eukaryota; Metazoa; Chordata; Mammalia; Carnivora; Herpestidae. The record is from Ensembl.